Molecule: ribosomal RNA, 322 nt
Filed under: uncultured Imbricatea
Lineage: Eukaryota; Cercozoa; Imbricatea
Description: SSU rRNA
Rfam family: Eukaryotic small subunit ribosomal RNA (bases 61-322)
Source: RNAcentral
GAUUUCUGGACAAUAGAAUUUGGCCGGCCACGGUUUCGUGUGUUAGUGCUUUGUUCUGUGUCCAUCCUUCCAAUCGCUAUUGGCUAUUCUUCAUUGAAUGGUCAGUGGUAUUGGAUCUUUUACUUUGAAAAAAUUAGAGUGUUUCAAGCAGGCUUUAUGCUAUGAAUACAUUAGCAUGGAAUAAUAAUUUAGGACUUCGGUUCUAUUUUGUUGGUUUCUAGGACUGAAGUAAUGAUUGAUAGGGAUAGUUGGGGGUGCUAGUAUUCAGCGGCCAGAGGUGAAAUUCUCGGAUUCGCUGAAGACUAACUUAUGCGAAAGCAUU